UACGUAGGUGACAAGCGUUGUCCGGAUUUACUGGGCGUAAAGAGCGCGCAGGCGGUCGAUCAAGUCGAGUGUGAAAGCCCCCGGCUCAACUGGGGAGGGUCAUUCGAUACUGAUCGACUCGAAGGCAGGGGAGGGUAGUGGAAUUCCCGGUGUAGUGGUGAAAUGCGUAGAUAUCGGGAGGAACACCAGUGGCGAAGGCGACUACCUGGCCUGUUCUUGACGCUGAGGCGCGAAAGCUAGGGGAGCAAACGGG
Molecule: ribosomal RNA, 253 nt
Filed under: uncultured bacterium
Lineage: Bacteria
Description: partial 16S ribosomal RNA
Rfam family: Bacterial small subunit ribosomal RNA
Source: RNAcentral